This 503-nucleotide ribosomal RNA is filed under the name Streptomyces sp. PM3. RNAcentral describes it as "bacterial SSU rRNA". It matches the Rfam family "Bacterial small subunit ribosomal RNA", at positions 135 to 652 of the family's 1533-position model. The record is from RNAcentral. Lineage: Bacteria; Bacillati; Actinomycetota; Actinomycetes; Kitasatosporales; Streptomycetaceae.
ACUCUGGGACAAGCCCUGGAAACGGGGUCUAAUACCGGAUACGAGCCUCCCGGGCAUCUGGGAGGUUGGAAAGCUCCGGCGGUGCAGGAUGAGCCCGCGGCCUAUCAGCUUGUUGGUGAGGUAACGGCUCACCAAGGCGACGACGGGUAGCCGGCCUGAGAGGGCGACCGGCCACACUGGGACUGAGACACGGCCCAGACUCCUACGGGAGGCAGCAGUGGGGAAUAUUGCACAAUGGGCGAAAGCCUGAUGCAGCGACGCCGCGUGAGGGAUGACGGCCUUCGGGUUGUAAACCUCUUUCAGCAGGGAAGAAGCGAAAGUGACGGUACCUGCAGAAGAAGCGCCGGCUAACUACGUGCCAGCAGCCGCGGUAAUACGUAGGGCGCAAGCGUUGUCCGGAAUUAUUGGGCGUAAAGAGCUCGUAGGCGGCUUGUCGCGUCGAUUGUGAAAGCCCGGGGCUUAACUCCGGGUCUGCAGUCGAUACGGGCAGGCUAGAGUGUGGU